Molecule: ribosomal RNA, 499 nt
Filed under: uncultured bacterium
Lineage: Bacteria
Description: partial 16S ribosomal RNA
Rfam family: Bacterial small subunit ribosomal RNA
Source: RNAcentral
GAUGAACGCUGGCGGCGUGCCUAAUACAUGCAAGUCGAGCGAACAGACGAGAGUGCUUGCACUCUCUGACGUUAGCGGCGGACGGGUGAGUAACACGUGGGUAACCUACCUAUAAGACUGGGAUAGCUUCGGGAAACCGGAGCUAAUACCGGAUAAUAUUUAGCUUCGCAUGAAGCAAUAGUGAAAGACGGUUCUGCUGUCACUUAUAGAUGGACCCGCGGUGUAUUAGCUAGUUGGUGAGGUAACGGCUCACCAAGGCAACGAUACAUAGCCGACCUGAGAGGGUGAUCGGCCACACUGGGACUGAGACACGGCCCAGACUCCUACGGGAGGCAGCAGUAGGGAAUCUUCCGCAAUGGACGAAAGUCUGACGGAGCAAUGCCGCGUGAGUGAAGAAGGUUUUCGGAUCGUAAAACUCUGUUGUAAGGGAAGAACAAGUACGUUAGUAACUGAACGUACCUUGACGGUACCUUACCAGAAAGCCACGGCUAACUACGUG